AACAUCCAUCACCGCAAAUAGUUACAAAUUCCUUUUUUUUCCCUUGUGAUGAGAACUUUUAACAUCUGCUCUCUUAGCAACUUUCAAAAAUACAAUACAGGGCAGAGGAUCUUAAUAGACAUUUUCCCAAAGAAGACAUACAGAUGGCCAAUAGGCACACGAGAAGAUGCUCAACAUCACUAAUCAUCAAGAAAAGAAGUCAAAACCACAAUGAGGUAUCACCUCAUAUAUGUUAGAAUAGCUAUAGUCAAAAAGACAAGGGAUAAGUGUUGGUGAGGAUGUGGAGAAAAGAGAACCCUUGUGCACCGUUGCUGGGAAUGUAAAUUGGCGCAGCCACUAUGGAAUAUAGUAUGCAGGUUUCUCAAAAAAUUAAAAAUAGAACUACUUACCAUAUGACCCAGCCAUCCCACUGCUGGGUAUUUAUCCGAAGAAAAUGAAAUCACUAUCCCAAAGAGAUAUCUGCACCCCCGUGUUCACUGCAGCAUAAUUUACAAUGGCGAAGACACAGAAGCAACCUAGAGGUCCAUCAACGGAUGAAUGGUGUUCAACAGAGAACAUUUCCUGACAGAGACUUGAGUGAAGGGGCCAGCUCCCCCAGUGCAGUGCUGGUAGUUGGGCUGGCUCAGAAAGACCAAUGUCCUGAGGCUGUUCUCCAGGGGGCCGGCUAGAGGAACAGGCAGUGAUGGUCUCCCAGGGAUGAAUUCUAGAUGCCUCACAGCUGCUGGGAGGAACAAUGCGGCAUGGUCAGGUUGCUAUGGCCUCAGGUGUUAGUGGAGGGAAGAUUGGGGCCCCUGGGAUCCUCACCGGAAGGCCAAGUUGCUGCCCUGGAAUCUUUGGCUUCGGGAACGCUGGAGAUUUGAGGCCCGGGCAUGCACAGUGCCUCCCCCUGUUCUGGCCAGGUGGGCUCGCCCCUGCACAGCUUGUGGAUCAGAGCCUGGGGCGAGAAGCUCCCCCACUGUGACUGUAAGUGGGGCAGGCGAGGCGUUGACAGGAUUGGGGUUUGCUUGAUAGGUAGCAUGAGCCAGACUCUUUAUGGACGAGUCUGAGAUGAGCGACCACCGGCACCUGGAGCACCAGGUGUUUCUCAUUCCAGGACUCCAGUCCCACCCCCGCAGAACUCCAGCUACAUCGAGCUUCCUCUGGGUAGAGUGGACACGCAGCAGCGCUUCGGGCCUGAUUUUGCCUUCUCUGAGCUGUCCCUGACUCUCAGGGCAUCCCGACCCAUCUGCUCCCUGCCCCUCCAUCAAGACCUGCUCUUACUCCCUGCACAUACCAGAAGUCAUGUAGUGGGGGGACAACACAACCAACUUUUUUAAGUCUCAAAAGGAUGUCAAUUGAAACCUGUUAUAGACGAAAUGCACUUCCUAGAAGUCAAUUGGCCAACAUGCAGAGCUGGAGAGAACAGAUUGUGAAAAUAGGUAAGUCCAGCUGAAAAAUAUCUUACAUACUCAAUUAGAUCCAGCUGUUCUGCAUUUGUGGCUUUCAAAUGGUCAUCAUCCACAGUGGAAUAGAUGUGUCCCUCCUUGCUAAGAAAAUCCACAGCUUGCUUGAUUGAUGCUACAGUCAUGUGCUGGAGCUGGUUCUCGAGAUCCUGAAAGUUCAAUCCUUCAGGUCUUGGGCACACAGUAAUCAAAUUCAGCACCUGGUUUUGGGCCACAGUGAGGCCAUUUGCUGGCAUUAAGCUAUCCCCACCAGAGUUCCCUGCUUCACUCCUUCCUGGAUUGCUGAUAGGGAUUGGGGGGGGGGCGGUGGUCUGUCUGUUUAGGGCCUCAAAGUCUGAAAUCAGGUGUUGGGCAGGCUAAGUUCUCAUCCGGAGGUUCUGGGGAAGAAUCUGCUUCCAAGCUCAUUAAGAUUGUUGGCAGAAUUCAGUUCCUUCUGGUUGUAGGAGUGAGACCCCCUUUUCCUUGCUGGCUGUCAGCCUUGGGCCGCUCUCCACGGCUAGAGACUGCCCACAUUCCUUACUACACCACGCCCACCUUCUUCCACACCAGCAUUGAGUAUUUCUCUCUUGUCAAAUGCCGUUCUCACUUUGAAUUGCUCUGACUUCCUCUGUGUCUGACUUCUAGACCUAGGUUUAAAGGGCUUAUUUGAUUAGGUCAGACCCACCCCGAUAAUCUCCCUGUUUUAAUGUCAGUUGAUUUGCAGUCUUAAUUACAUCUGCAGAAUCCCUUCCUGGCAAGACCUAAAUUAGUGUUUAAUUAAAUAAUUGGUAGAAGCUGUGCACACACCAGGGGCUUGGCAAUGUGGGAGCCAUCUUACAGUUCUACCUGACACACGAGUUAAUAGACUAAGUAGGCCAUUUCAAUAGGCAUAGAAACACAUUUCAACUCAACACCAAUUCACAAUUAAUAUAAGAAUUCAAUUUCAAUUCAAAAUCCAUUCACAGUUAAAAGCUCUCAGCAAAUGAUGGAAUCAAAGGAAACCUGCUCUGUCUGAUAAAGGGCAUCUACAAAAACCCUAUAGUUAACAUCAUCCUUAAUGGUGAAAAACUGAUCUCUGUCUUCCUAAAAUCAAGAACAAGGAAGGAUCUCUAAUCUCAUGAUUUCUAUUAAUGUUCACAGGAGGCCCUAAAGAUUACAGUGAGGCAGAAUCAAGGAAAGAAGGAGAAAGUUUUAUUAGGACACAACUGUAGCCAUUUGUUUACUACUAUCUAUGGCUCUUUGACGCUGCACAGCUGAGUGAAAAGAUGUGGAAAAGAUUACCAGACCUGCAUCUGUCUUCAGAGCUGAGCUGUCACUGCUAUCAUCAUCCACCACAUCAAACAGAGAAACUGCCACCUUUAGCCAUCUAGACUCGCCCAGGAGGUGUCUGAACUGGACAUAGGCCUUGGACAACAAUUCAGACAGCUCACCGCUCCUCUGAAGGGGCCAGCUUUCAUCUUCAUUGAAAGCCGAAUGAAGGAAGCCCAUUCCUUCUUCAUUCCCAGAGACCAUUUCUACUCCUGCCAGAUGUCUGCCAGGGCCCUGAAGUACCUAACAGCCCAAUCCAGUCAUUUCACCUUUGAAU
This is a long non-coding RNA of Equus caballus (horse), 3006 nucleotides long. NCBI's taxonomy places the organism in Eukaryota, Metazoa, Chordata, Mammalia, Perissodactyla, Equidae. The record is from Ensembl.